GACCAUCCUCCAAGGCUAAAUACUCCUGACUGACCGAUAGUGAACCAGUACCGUGAGGGAAAGGCGAAAAGAACCCCGGCGAGGGGAGUGAAAAAGAACCUGAAACCGUGUACGUACAAGCAGUGGGAGCCUCUUUAUGGGGUGACUGCGUACCUUUUGUAUAAUGGGUCAGCGACUUAUAUUCUGUAGCAAGGUUAACCGUAUAGGGGAGCCGAAGGGAAACCGAGUCUUAACUGGGCGUUAAGUUGCAGGGUAUAGACCCGAAACCCGGUGAUCUAGCCAUGGGCAGGUUGAAGGUUGGGUAACACUAACUGGAGGACCGAACCGACUAAUGUUGAAAAAUUAGCGGAUGACCUGUGGCUGGGGGUGAAAGGCCAAUCAAACCGGGAGAUAGCUGGUUCUCCCCGAAAGCUAUUUAGGUAGCGCCUCGUGAACUCAUCUUCGGGGGUAGAGCACUGUUUCGGCUAGGGGGCCAUCCCGGCUUACCAACCCGAUGCAAACUACGAAUACCGAAGAAUGUUAUCACGGGAGACACACGGCGGGUGCUAACGUCCGUCGUGAAGAGGGAAACAACCCAGACCGCCAGCUAAGGUCCCAAAGUCAUGGUUAAGUGGGAAACGAUGUGGGAAGGCACAGACAGCCAGGAUGUUGGCUUAGAAGCAGCCAUCAUUUAAAGAAAGCGUAAUAGCUCACUGGUCGAGUCGGCCUGCGCGGAAGAUGUAACGGGGCUAAACCAUGCACCGAAGCUGCGGCAGCGACACUAUGUGUUGUUGGGUAGGGGAGCGUUCUGUAAGCCGUUGAAGGUGUGCUGUGAGGCAUGCUGGAGGUAUCAGAAGUGCGAAUGCUGACAUAAGUAACGAUAAAGCGGGUGAAAAGCCCGCUCGCCGGAAGACCAAGGGUUCCUGUCCAACGUUAAUCGGGGCAGGGUGAGUCGACCCCUAAGGCGAGGCCGAAAGGCGUAGUCGAUGGGAAACAGGUUAAUAUUCCUGUACUUGGUGUUACUGCGAAGGGGGGACGGAGAAGGCUAUGUCAGCCGGGCGACGGUUGUCCCGGUUUAAGCAUGUAGGCGGAGGUUCCAGGUAAAUCCGGUACCUUUUAACGCUGAGGUGUGAUGACGAGGCACUACGGUGCUGAAGUGAUAAAUGCCCUGCUUCCAGGAAAAGCCUCUAAGCAUCAGGUAACAUCAAAUCGUACCCCAAACCGACACAGGUGGUCAGGUAGAGAAUACCAAGGCGCUUGAGAGAACUCGGGUGAAGGAACUAGGCAAAAUGGUGCCGUAACUUCGGGAGAAGGCACGCUGAUGUGUAGGUGAAGCCCCUGCGGGCGGAGCUGAAAUCAGUCGAAGAUACCAGCUGGCUGCAACUGUUUAUUAAAAACACAGCACUGUGCAAACACGAAAGUGGACGUAUACGGUGUGACGCCUGCCCGGUGCCGGAAGGUUAAUUGAUGGGGUUAGCGGCAACGCGAAGCUCUUGAUCGAAGCCCCGGUAAACGGCGGCCGUAACUAUAACGGUCCUAAGGUAGCGAAAUUCCUUGUCGGGUAAGUUCCGACCUGCACGAAUGGCGUAAUGAUGGCCAGGCUGUCUCCACCCGAGACUCAGUGAAAUUGAACUCGCUGUGAAGAUGCAGUGUACCCGCGGCAAGACGGAAAGACCCCGUGAACCUUUACUAUAGCUUGACACUGAACACUGGUCCUUGAUGUGUAGGAUAGGUGGGAGGCUUUGAAGCGUGGACGCCAGUCUGCGUGGAGCCGACCUUGAAAUACCACCCUUUAAUGGCUGGUGUUCUAACGUAGACCCGUAAUCCGGGUUGCGGACAGUGUCUGGUGGGUAGUUUGACUGGGGCGGUCUCCUCCCAAAGAGUAACGGAGGAGCACGAAGGUUGGCUAAUCCUGGUCGGACAUCAGGAGGUUAGUGCAAUGGCAUAAGCCAGCUUGACUGCGAGCGUGACGGCGCGAGCAGGUGCGAAAGCAGGUCAUAGUGAUCCGGUGGUUCUGAAUGGAAGGGCCAUCGCUCAACGGAUAAAAGGUACUCCGGGGAUAACAGGCUGAUACCGCCCAAGAGUUCAUAUCGACGGCGGUGUUUGGCACCUCGAUGUCGGCUCAUCACAUCCUGGGGCUGAAGUAGGUCCCAAGGGUAUGGCUGUUCGCCAUUUAAAGUGGUACGCGAGCUGGGUUUAGAACGUCGUGAGACAGUUCGGUCCCUAUCUGCCGUGGGCGCUGGAGAAUUGAGGGGGGCUGCUCCUAGUACGAGAGGACCGGAGUGGACGCAUCACUGGUGUUCGGGUUGUCAUGCCAAUGGCACUGCCCGGUAGCUAAAUGCGGAAGAGAUAAGUGCUGAAAGCAUCUAAGCACGAAACUUGCCCCGAGAUGAGUUCUCCCUGAGACUU
This 2388-nucleotide ribosomal RNA is filed under the name Enterobacter hormaechei. RNAcentral describes it as "partial 23S ribosomal RNA". It matches the Rfam family "Bacterial large subunit ribosomal RNA", at positions 451 to 2823 of the family's 2925-position model. Lineage: Bacteria; Pseudomonadati; Pseudomonadota; Gammaproteobacteria; Enterobacterales; Enterobacteriaceae. The record is from RNAcentral.